CGGAUCAAAGGUCCAAGUCUGUUUUCCUGGUUAGAUCCACCUUCACACUUCAGAGGGAUUUCUGUUUGGGACUGAGUGUAAAUCUGAUUCAGGCUUUACGGUGUGUGAAGGGAGCGGCCUCAUCUUUGGCAUCAUGGUGGAGCUGGCUUUCUACCCAGCGGUUGCUCUGAUAUAUUUUUUCGGAGUGAUGAAAGCAACGCAGGAUGAUCGGGUGGAGCUGGACGACCGAGCGUCGAUGAACGUGUUCUGUCUGUUCGUGCUGGUGCAGCCGCUGUGUCUGGUGCUGGGAGGAUACACGGGCAUGGCCACGUACCUUCUCACAGCUCUGGUCUCCUACAACUUUCUGCCUUGGAGGAAGAAGAAAGAACUCGCAAAGGGAAAAGAAUCAAAGAAGAAGACAAAGUGAGAACAAAGAACACGCACUGUGUGGAGAUUAAGAGAAACUGACUUCUGUGUAGGAGGACAUUUUUUAUAUAAUAAAGCAUGUAAAUCUUUCGGUGUGAAUAAGUGAAUGUGUUGCUAAACCAUACAGCAGUCAUUUAACCUGCUUCCAUAAAUCAUCUGCAGUUGUAUGCAUCUGUGCUUUAUAAAGGUACAUUUAGUUCUCUGCAAAGACAGUGAGUCUUUUUAUGAUUCCUAAUGCAGCAAAUAGAUCGGAAGCUUUCAUUUAAAGCAAUUAGCCAUCAUAGCUGAACUGACUAACAGAACAUAGGAUAAAGGCCUCUACGAAGAUGUCAGCUACAAAUAAUAAUAAUCCAUAAAGGCCAAUGCUAUCUCAAAACCAGACCUAUAGAGUUGGAUUCAACAUUAUUUUGGGAUUCAAUGUUAUUUUUCAAAUAAUUUUCCUAAUCCAAAAUGUGAAUCCAUAAUUUUAAGUGAGAAAAUUGAUGGAUGAUCAAUGGACAUUUUUUCCUUUUUAUUACUAAAUGGUAAACUGUCUAUAUUUACCUUCUGUUUAUUGGGCGACUCACUCUAUACACGGAAUUGUGAAUACAUUCUGGGUCUUCAUAUGAAAGCAUAUUGCUCUGGAGCGUGUGAAGUUAUUCAGUGAAGAAUGAGAAAGAAGUAACUGCCUCUUCCCACCCUUGACUUUACAUUGAACAACUGCAUGUGUUGCCCUCUGAGUUUCAGUUGACUCUACAUAUGAUUACAACUCUGUGGAUACCUCACUGAACCCCACUGUGACCUAUCUCUGAAUGAUUAAAACAUUAAACACACACAGCCACACACAGAAUUUUCAAUUAUCCAGCCAUGUUCUCGAAGGACCGUGUGUCCCUCUGAUGUGGCUAAGCCUGGUAGCGUGGAGUGUGUGUGAUGUCUAAAACCGGAUUCAAAGAGAGCGAGUACAAUGGGAUUAGACCGUGCCAUUUGGUUGAUAGUCCAUGGCUUUGUUCAGCCGUCUUGCUGAUGCUCAUUGUGUACAUCUGAGAAACGGGGGGGUAUUUUUUGAUGAUGUUUACUUUCUCAGCAUUAAAAUCGUCUCUGAGCUUGAAUUAAAUCAUUUUCUGGGCUGUGAACGUGUCUCCGUCUCUCACAGGGCCUUUUCUUUAUCUCUCUUCCUCUAAGUGUGAAUUUAUGUAAGGGAUAACCUCGAGUGUCAUAAAGGUUGUAUUUCCACUGUUCCACUUUUUCCACCACAUCUUCUUUCAAGACGGAUUAGUUUGGCUCUCUACAUGUCUGCACCAUAUCCUGCAUAAACAUGUAUGCAUUGUAUGUUACAUAAGUGUAGUAGCUGUUUUCUGUAUCCUCUAUUAUUUAAACAUCUGGACAUCUGAA
Molecule: long non-coding RNA, 1776 nt
Organism: Paralichthys olivaceus (Japanese flounder)
Lineage: Eukaryota; Metazoa; Chordata; Actinopteri; Pleuronectiformes; Paralichthyidae
Source: RefSeq, a predicted model, not a curated record